This 430-nucleotide ribosomal RNA is filed under the name Rhizobium sp. RNAcentral's name for it is "bacterial SSU rRNA". It matches the Rfam family "Bacterial small subunit ribosomal RNA", at positions 29 to 507 of the family's 1533-position model. Lineage: Bacteria; Pseudomonadati; Pseudomonadota; Alphaproteobacteria; Hyphomicrobiales; Rhizobiaceae. The record is from RNAcentral.
ACGAACGCUGGSGGCAGGCUUAACACAUGCAAGUCGAGCGCCCCGCAAGGGGAGCGGCAGACGGGUGAGUAACGCGUGGGAACGUACCCUUUACUACGGAAUAACGCAUGGAAACGUGUGCUAAUACCGUAUGUGCCCUUCGGGGGAAAGAUUUAUCGGUAAAGGAUCGGCCCGCGUUGGAUUAGCUAGUUGGUGGGGUAAAGGCCUACCAAGGCGACGAUCCAUAGCUGGUCUGAGAGGAUGAUCAGCCACAUUGGGACUGAGACACGGCCCAAACUCCUACGGGAGGCAGCAGUGGGGAAUAUUGGACAAUGGGCGCAAGCCUGAUCCAGCCAUGCCGCGUGAGUGAUGAAGGCCCUAGGGUUGUAAAGCUCUUUCACCGGUGAAGAUAAUGACGGUAACCGGAGAARAASCCCCGGCUAACUUCGUG